This 107-nucleotide small nuclear RNA is filed under the name Peromyscus maniculatus bairdii (prairie deer mouse). Lineage: Eukaryota; Metazoa; Chordata; Mammalia; Rodentia; Cricetidae. The record is from RNAcentral.
GUGCUCGCUUCGACAGCACAUAUACUAAAACUGGAACGAUACAGAGAAGAUUAGCAUGGCCUCUGCGCAAGGAUGACACGCAAAUAUGUGAAGCGUUCCAUAUUUUU